This 867-nucleotide long non-coding RNA is filed under the name Brassica rapa (field mustard). RNAcentral's name for it is "long non-coding RNA (BRAP_LNC006156)". The record is from RNAcentral. Lineage: Eukaryota; Viridiplantae; Streptophyta; Magnoliopsida; Brassicales; Brassicaceae.
GGAGAUCUUGCAGCUAUCCCAGCUACAAACCAAGUCUGCAGCGAAACAGACAGCGGCAAUGCUUGGAAAGUACAUUAUGAAGACACUUCCGCUGCAGCUUCUUUCAACAGAUAGAAAACAAAAUGAUGCAAAUAUUCAUCAAAAUCAACAAACUACUACAAGGAUAUAUAUAGGACAAUGAUUUGAUUCGUCAUUCUAACUUGAUCUUGUUGUCUUCCAACCAAAACGAAGACAAAGUGUAUUACUAGUGUCUCUAUACAGUUACUUCAAUGUAACUAAAUCAAUCAAAAUUAUAUUCAGUAAUCAUUUUCUUUGUUACUCUCUGGGAAAACACUAAAAUUAAAAUAGUCAACUUUUAAAUUAGAAAAAACAAAACAAAAAAUUAAAAUCUCGUGGAAAACAAGAGAGGACAAGGACCUCAAAAAAACCAAACAGUCUAUUAGUUCUGCUGAGCUUACCCGUGUGACCACACAGCGAGACAGCCUGGUUCAAACAUCCGCCACGUGUCAAAUAACCCUGACACUUUGCGGCGUUUUACUCGAGCACUACGCACAAACGCGCUUUUGACACUCGUUUCUUCUUCACGCGCCGUACAAAGUCAAAAAUUCAGUUUUCAACUCCUCUCUCUCGUAUAUAUAAACCCUAAAGCGGCAAACUCUAAUUAUUCAAUUCAAAUAAUAACCAAAACGAACUCAAAGAGUUAACUGAAGAGCAGAGCUAAACCAAAAAUAGAAUCGUACCGUACUGAAUUGAAUUGAACCGGGUUGGUUUGUUGUUUCGGUUUAAGUGAUGGAGGGACCGUCGUCGUCGUCAAAGUACAAAGGAGUGAGGAAGAGGAAGUGGGGGAAGUGGGUUUCAGAGAUCAGA